UUUUUGAGAAUGCAGUUAUUGGGCAAAGGUAGUGCUCUCCAGGACAGUGUAUGAACAGGGACAGCUUCUGUCUAUCUGCUCCUGUGUUGGGAGGGACUUGCCAUGAGUGGGCCCCAGGGAAGCACCCAAGACAGUGCUGCUCCUAGGCUUGCUAAGGGUCAGGAGACCAGAAGACAGGUUAAAUUUAAAGAACAUGUUUUCCUGGGGCUGGGGAUUUAGCUCAGCGGCAAAGCACCUGCCUGGCAAGCACAAGGUCGUGAAUUCGGUACCGGAGGAAAAAAAAAAAAAAAAGAACAUGUUUUCCUUAAAGAGUGUCACUGGGGAUUAUUGUACUCUACUAAGAGUUUGAAUAGUAGCUUCCAAAAUAUGUCAACCUCCAAAACCCUGGAAUUUAUAUAUGUUACUCUAUUUGGAGAGGGGCUAGAAAUAAGAUUAGGAUAAGGAUCUUGAUUAUUAGAUGCCAGAUUUUCCAGGUGAGCUCUGAGUCCAAAGACACAGAAAAAGGAAAGGUAUGACUAUCCAAAGAGAGGUAUGAUGUGAAAAUGGAGGUGCAGCUUGAAGUGAUAUAGUUAUGAGCCAAGGAAGCCAGAUGUGGUGGCCCACACUUAAAAUCCCAGCACUCGGGAGACUGAGGUGGAAGGAUCAUUAUGAGUUUGAGGUCAGCCUGGGCUACAAAGUGAGCUCAAGGCCUGCCUGAACUGCGUAGUGAGGCCCUGCCUCAAAAAAAAAAAAAAAAAAUAAAAAUAAGUAGAAAAAAAACCACAGAGAAAAAAAAAAAAAAAAAAAAAAAAAGAGAAAGAUGGAGCCAAGGAAACCAGAGAAUGCUGACAGCCAUCAGAAUCUGGGAGAAACAAAGGGAGAUUUUCCCCUAGAGCCCAGCGGAUAUGUGGCCUUGCAACACUUUAAUUUCAGACUUCUGAUCACUAGAACUAUGGGAUAAUUUCUGGUUUACUAAACUAUCCAGCUUGUGGGAAUUUGUUAUGGAAGCUGUGGAAAAGUUGUACUAUACACAUCCGAAGUUGCUAACCCAGUAUGCAUCUUGCUGUCCUGUGCAUCUUGCCAUGUGGAGAAGAACUUUGUGGAGAAGAGAAAAAUGCCCCCACUAUACAGACAAACAGAGGCUGCUGCCUUUGUCAGAUGUCUGGAUUACUUUUCAGCAUGGACCAUCCUCUAUCAAAUUAAGUUAAAAACUUAAAUCACCUCUCCAGACUUGUAGAGAAUUGUAUCCAGCCUCCACCCAGACUAAAGUCACAGACUUCUCUCGUCCUUCAUAUACAAUGGCAUAGAACUCUUGGAUACUAUAAAGCAUUUUUAAGUUAUUUGCAAUUUCUGAGACAAUGUAAAUGUUAUGCAAAUAAUUGUUAAGUUGUAUCAUUUAGGAAACAAUAACCAGGCAAAUUAUAUGGGUUUAGUACAUACAAAUAGCUUUGAUCUAUAUUAGUUGAAUUGUAAGGAUGCUGAACUUGUGGGUAUAGACAUUCUUCCGGACUUCUGCCAGGCUUUGUUGGGCAACUUCCCUCACUUUCCUGACCUUCUCUGCCGGGGCUCUAAUUUGGUUCCCAUAUUGAAGAGAUACAGCUGGAUCUGGAAUCAGAAGGGGUUGACCCAAUUGUGGGGUGAACAACAGGUACUGGAAACUUCAGCAGAAGCCAGGACAGUUCACCCAAUGAAAGAAGUCUCUGACUGUAGACACAAGACAGACCAAGAUCCACAAGGCUUAACAGCAAAGCUCUGAGGCAAGGCAGUGAGUGGAAAGAGAGGAAACUCUUCCCUAAGGACACGGAACAGACUGACAUGUCUCAGAGUCAGAGGUUCUGGUCUGCCUCACUCCACAGGAAAUCUGUGUCCCUCAGCCUCAGCCUCAGGCAGUGCUCCUGCCUGCUGAGUUGAAGGACCUUGACUGUUUCCUGUCACCUAGGGUGAGACUGAAAGCUUCAGUCCUCACAUAGCUAGUACAGUACUUGGUCACUUCCUUGGACUGGGCAGAAGGUUUCCAGCUUGCCCCAGUCUGUUCAUUUUGCUUCUAUGUAGAAUCUGCCAUGCCCGGGCACACCUUUGUUUUCUGGGAGUUCUUUUGUUUCCAAUCAUAUGGUUGAGUUGAAGAGAGACAAAUAUUCAGUUCUGACUUAGGACAAUCUGAUGGUGGGAGACUUUAUAAACUUGUAGAUAUUUAGACAACACCUGAUAAUGUUUCCUAGCAAAUGUCAAGUGCCUUUCAUUGCCUUCAUCCACACAGCUUCACAAUCAUUUUUGCUGUACUUUUCUUUACAUAUAUGUAUAAUAGAUUCUACCUGUGGAAAUGCUGAAUUUUCCUCUCCACAUUUAGCCUAGUAAGUUAACAUUAGUCACAAUUUUUUUUUGAGACAGGAUCUCACUGUGUAGUCCAAGCUGGCCUUGAACUUACUAUGUAGCCCAGGCUGGCCUUUAACUUGCAAUCUUCCCGCCUUAGCCUCCUGAGUCUGGGAUUACAGGCAUAUGCCACCAUGCCUGACUAGUCAUAAUAUCUUAUUUUAUUUUUUAUUCUUAUUUUUUUAGUCAUAAUAUUUUAAAUCUAAUGUAUUAAGUUAUUUCUCACUGUAUUUACUGUGAUUAUGUUUGCUUGGCACUAGUUUAAGUGCAUAAUUUACUAAUUUUCUUAAACUAGUAAUUCAAAUUUUACAUAUAAAUUAUAAAACCUAGGGGCUGGGGAUUUAGCUCAGCGGCAAAAGCACCUGCCUGGCAAGUGCAAGGUCAUGAGUUCGGUUCCCGGUACCGGAGAAAAAAAAACAAAAAAAAAAAAAAAAAAAAAAAACCUAACACAAAUUUCUAAAAUUUCCAAAUUAUGAAGACAAUCAGUCCUAUUUCUCAAAUGACACAUAGUAAAUGACCAAAAAUAUUUGUUAAAUUGAUAAAAUGAAGGAAAUGAAAGCAUCAGAUGAUUAUCCACUCGGCCACUAAACUGCUUUCUGGCUUAGGGUUGAUCAGGUCACUUUGAGCCCCCCUUAUUUCUCUCACAAAAUAUUGUAAGGAUUGAGGGCUAUAAAUAUUCAAAUAUGCUUUGAAAACAUUGAGUUGCAGAUACAAGUGGUGCAUUUUGUGUAUUUUACUUGAGUUAAAAACUGCCUUUAACAACCACAUACUGCCUUCCUUUCUGCCUAUGAAAUUCACAUUUGAUUCUAUGCACUGACCAUUGUGACAACGCUGGUGUGAGGAAUUGUGACAAAUGGCCUGGGUCUAUGGGCUCUAGAGCUCAGUGAGAAACAACUGGUCAGGACGGGAAGAUGCAAUUCUGUUGAACAAGGAUUCCCCUGGUUGUAUACUUAAAAGUAGCUAGAAAAGAUUUGGGAUGGUUUUAUUACAUAAAAUGACCAAUAUUUAAGGGACUGGAUAUUGUAAUUACACUGAUUUGAGCACUAGCCAAUGUACACAUGCAUCAAAACUUCAUGCUUUGUUCCAGACGAAUGCAUCACUGUUAUGUGUCCACCAUAACAAAUAAUUAAAACAUUCUUUAAAAUUUGCUUUCUGGCUUCAGAACCCUCCCUUUUUGUUCCCUUUGGAGGAUCUUUUGCUGGUCUGGAUGGAAAAGAUGGAGCACAUUCUCUCUUUUCUGCCUGUAAACAGCAACCUGGGAAGCAAUCCCCGAAGCUCACAUCUUUCCUGUCAGCUGCACACACCAUUCCUGUGUUUCUUAUAAUGGACAAGCUAUGAUGGAAUGCUGAAAAGCCCCUCCAGGGCACG
Molecule: long non-coding RNA, 3717 nt
Filed under: Chinchilla lanigera (long-tailed chinchilla)
Lineage: Eukaryota; Metazoa; Chordata; Mammalia; Rodentia; Chinchillidae
Description: lncRNA (ENSCLAG00000023647.1)
Source: RNAcentral